GAUGAAGAACGUAGCGAAAUGCGAUAAGUAGUGUGAAUUGCAGAAUUCAGUGAAUCAUCGAAUCUUUGAACGUACAUUGCGCCCCUUGGUAUUCCAUGGGGCAUGCCUGUUCGAGCGUCAUUUGUACCUUCAAGCUCUGCUUGGUGUUGGGUGUUUGUCUCGCCUCUGCGCGUAGACUCGCCUCAAAACAAUUGGCAGCCGGCGUAUUGAUUUCGGAGCGCAGUACAUCUCGCGCCUUGCACUCAUAACGACGACGUCCAAAAGUACAUUUUUACACUCUUGACCUCGGAUCAGGUAGGGAUACCCGCUGAACUUAAGCAUAUCAAUAAGCGGAGGA
Molecule: unclassified non-coding RNA, 337 nt
Filed under: soil metagenome
Description: partial contains 5.8S ribosomal RNA, internal transcribed spacer 2, and large subunit ribosomal RNA
Rfam family: 5.8S ribosomal RNA (bases 1-120)
Source: RNAcentral